AUCACUUCUCGGCCUUUUGGCUGAGAUCAAGUGUGGUAUCUGUUCUUAUCCGUUUAACAUAAAUAAUGUGUUUUAGAGCAUAAAAUAGCCUGGUAUACCCAAUUCCUUAUGUUCUCCUAAAUGGAAGGCGUACACCGAAAUGUAUGCCCAUCACGUAGGCCUACAGGAACGCCCAUAUGAUGGCCCCAAC
This is a small nuclear RNA of Phyllostomus discolor (pale spear-nosed bat), 190 nucleotides long. RefSeq annotates it as U2 spliceosomal RNA. The transcript has a single exon. NCBI's taxonomy places the organism in Eukaryota, Metazoa, Chordata, Mammalia, Chiroptera, Phyllostomidae. The record is from RefSeq and is a predicted model, not a curated record.